This 468-nucleotide ribosomal RNA is filed under the name uncultured bacterium. Its description in RNAcentral is "partial 16S ribosomal RNA". It matches the Rfam family "Bacterial small subunit ribosomal RNA", at positions 28 to 507 of the family's 1533-position model. The record is from RNAcentral.
GACGAACGCUGGCGGCGUGCUUAACACAUGCAAGUCGAACGGAAAGGCCCUGCUUUUGUGGGGUGCUCGAGUGGCGUAUGGGUGAGUAACACGUGAGUAACCUGCCCUUGACUUUGGGAUAACUUCAGGAAACUGGGGCUAAUACCGGAUAGGAGCUCCUGCUGCAUGGUGGGGGUCGGAAAGUUUCGGCGGUUGGGGAUGGACUCGCGGUUUAUCAGCUUGUUGGUGGGGUAGUGGCUUACCAAGGCUUUGACGGGUAGCCGGCCUGGGAGGGUGAACGGCCACAUUGGGACUGAGAUACGUCCCAGACGCCUACAGGAGGCAGCGGUGGGGAAUAUUGCACAAUGGGGGGAAGCCUGAUGCAGCAACGCAGGGUCCGGGAUGACGGCCUUCGGGUUGUAAACCGCUGUCGCCUGUGACGAAGCGUGAGUGACGGUAAUGGGUAAAGAAGCACCGGCUAACUACGUG